Molecule: long non-coding RNA, 629 nt
Organism: Gopherus evgoodei (Goodes thornscrub tortoise)
Lineage: Eukaryota; Metazoa; Chordata; Testudines; Testudinidae
Exons: 3
Source: RefSeq, a predicted model, not a curated record
UUCAGCCAUUGGAUUUCGUUUUAUAUUUGUCUGCUAGAUUGAAGAGCCAGUUAUCAAAUUUCUGUUCCCCAUAAUAUACCUACAGAUUGUGAACUAGUCACCCCUUAACCUUUCUUUGUUAAACUAAAUAGGUUGAGCUCCUGUCACUACAGGACAUGGUUUUCCAAUCUCUCAAACAUUUUCAUGGUUCUUCUUUGAACCCUCUCUAAUUUAUCAACAUCGUUCUUGAAUUGUGGACAUCAGAACUGGACACACAGUUUUCCAGUAGUGCUUGCACAGUGCCAAAUACAAAGGAGAGCUGUACUCUCUUUAUGAAAGUGAUUAGAGGAGAAAGAGCUUUCUAGGAGAACUGCUUUCCUAAAACUCAGACUGGAGAAGGUUCUGUGAGACCAAAGAGCUGUCUGAUGACCCAGCAGAGACAGCCGUAUGAUAUAUUGAAUUCCAUUCUUUGGUGAAUCUUUCUGUUUUUAAUUUAAAAUAAAUAGAUACAAUUAAUUAAGAUAAUCCAGGUGAGUUCUUGUGAUUUUUCUCAUUUGUAAAUUCUUUUUUCUAUGAAAAUAGCAAACACAGUGUAAUUAAUUAAUUAAAAACACCUUCUCUCUUCUUCUUUCUCAUUUCCUUCCAAUGCA